RNAcentral lists this ribosomal RNA (316 nucleotides) under uncultured bacterium. RNAcentral describes it as "bacterial SSU rRNA". It matches the Rfam family "Bacterial small subunit ribosomal RNA", at positions 28 to 334 of the family's 1533-position model. The record is from RNAcentral.
GAUGAACGCUAGCGAUAGGCUUAACACAUGCAAGUCGAGGGGUAACAUGGGAGUAGCUUGCUACUUCUGAUGACGACCGGCGGAUGGGUGAGUAACGCGUAUGCAACUUGCCUCUUAGUGGGGAAUAACCCGGAGAAAUCCGGACUAAUACCGCGUACACUUAGUUAUCCGCAUGGGGGAAUCAUGAAAGCUACAUGCGCUAAGGGAGAGCUUUGCGUCCCAUUAGCUCGUUGGUGAGGUAACGGCCCACCAAGGCAAUGAUGGGUAGCCGGCCUGAGAGGGUGAACGGCCACAAGGGGACUGAGACACGGCCCUU